This is a long non-coding RNA of Pyrus x bretschneideri (Chinese white pear), 2427 nucleotides long. RefSeq lists it as uncharacterized. Lineage: Eukaryota; Viridiplantae; Streptophyta; Magnoliopsida; Rosales; Rosaceae. The record is from RefSeq and is a predicted model, not a curated record. The transcript is spliced from 5 exons.
GCGGCCUUGCGUCUCUCAUCAGCAUGUAGUCACCUAUGCUACAUCCGAAGCUUUUGAAAAAAAGCUAUCCACCAAAGAGAUAAUAAAUGCAAAGACCCACGUGUUGAUCAUCCCUUUCCAUUUGAGAGCAAGACAGAGCAAAAGAGAGGGAUGCCAUUGCCAUUGCAGUAACCAAGACCCAUUUCUCGAAAAAGAGAUAAUAAAUGCGAAAUAUAUAUAUAUAUAUAUUGUGCAGGGUAGAAAAGAAAGUCCAAUAUGAAAAUGAGAGGUCAUGAUGCGUAGUGAGAGAAAAAAAAAAUAUAUAUAUACACACACACAUAUAUAUUAUCUUAUUAUUAUCAAAUUGUUAAUGGAGCAGGUUGUGUUGCUUUAUGCUUUCUUUCUUUCAUUUUCAGCUUUGGUUUUCUCUCGACUCUCUGCAUCAUGGUGUUUUUCUUGCAAAUUGUUAACGGAGCAGGUUGUGUUGUUUGGAAUUAUAGGUACAACUUUGUUUUGUUGCAAAUUGGUUUCAUGUUGAAAUUUUGCUUUCUUUCUUAUUUUGGGUGUUCAUUUUGUAGUCUGGGGUUUUAUAUCCUCCUGUGUCUUCCAUGCGUCGAUCUUCCUUUUCGAUUCGAUCUCUCCAAUUUUCUUUCGCCUUUCCAUUUGCUUCUCUCAACCCUCAUUUUCUCAGUUUGCUUCGCGUCCAUCCUUUUCUCGAAUUUUCUUGGGGUUUUCAUUUCUUUCUCACGGAUACUUGAUUUUCUCAGUUUGUUUCCACUGAUCUUUUGUUUCUUCCGCGCAUUCCACAUCUUUUUCAUCAUUUUUGGUGUGGAUUUGAAGAGGAUUUGUGAAGUGGCUUUGAUUUUAUGUUACCCAUGUUCUGUUUUUCGGUUUGAUUUGAAGGAAUUUUUUGCGCAGAAGAGCUAGGGUUUCUUGUGAAUACCAAACUGCAGUGUGAUGUUCAAACUUUGUGGCCUUUUGAAGUAGGUGGGAGCAUAAUUCAUCCAUGAGGUAAAAGCUCAAAUCUCUUUAUUUUUUGUUGGAGAAGUUGGUGGAACAAAUUGUGCUUUACUCUACAUAUGACCAAUGUCUAUGAUUUUACCUAUUUUGAUAAUGCUUGAAUUAUGCUUCUUGGUUUUUAAUUGGGUUUUUGGGUAGUGAGUUGGAUAGAUAGUUCAUAGCAUAGGUUUGGUUGCAUGUUUAUUGGAAAAAGAAAAACACGGAGAGGCACAACACACAGAGGAUAAACUUUUUGUCUUCAGGAAGAUGAGGAGACAAAAAGAAGUACAAAGGGAUGCAUUUAGCUUCCACUUUUGAGGUUCCAGGCACCCAAAAACUGCCGACUGGUACCCAGGAAUUAACAAUGUAGCUGGAGUUCUCCACUGGCUUAAGCACACUGGAGAACUCAAGUACAGAUAUCUCUAACUGUUUCUCAAUCCUGGAACCUCUAGCCUCCGCAAGAAGGUUCGUCUCUCUAUCUCUCACUUUGUUUUUUAAAAUUCGUAAUCGAAUUUCUUUUGCAUAAAUGCUAGAUCUAUUGCAGUGAGGCCACAAAUCCUACCCUUUGUUUGUUACUUUGUUCCAAUUAUUGCAAUCAAUUUUUCAUCGUUUAUGUGGUCAAUUCUUGCAUUGUUUUAUUUGGUGAAUUCUUGAUUAACGACUGGUUUUUCUUGCUUGGUCUAAUUGGGCAACUUAAGAAUUUCAUGUGAGAAUUUUUUUGUCCUGAUGAAUCCUUCUUUUUUUUUUUUUUUUUUUACCAUUAUUCAAUUUUUUUUUUUAAUUAUGUAGUCAAAUGAGUUCGGUAUUCCUUUGGAGUCUCUGCAAUUUAAAGUAAUCUAUAUUAUUGUUUUGAUUGUGCGUUCUAUUUUAAUAAGAAUCUUUUCAAUUUAGUGUAAUCUCAAUCUCAAUGGGUUUUUAUGAUACGCCUUAUUAGUGAAUUUAUCUACAUUUUUCAAUGUUGCUCUCGACGAUUGUGAUCACUGCAUUGUGUGGAUUUUGUUUGAAUUCCCAAAUGGCUUUUUCAGUUAUGGUUCAAUUAUUAUUUUCCUUUUCAAUUGUUAUUCUUCAUUGUUGAUGUGGUUGCUGUUUCUGAUUUCCAUUCAAUCUGAUCCAUACUCUCAGUUUUCUUUUUAGAAUUCCUCUCUUUGCCUUUUGCCAAUGUUAGUAUUUUUCUCCAUAAUAGAAAUUCGAUGUUAAUAUAUAUAUAUAUAUAUAUAUAUAUAUUUGAUUUUAGAUCCUACAAGUUCAAGGCAUUGAUGAUGGAAUUAUAUUCAACGUUGCUCAUUGUUCCUUAUUGUAGAUAAGGCUGUAUAGGAGCAAGAUGUAGCACCCGCAACAUCGCGCGGGAAGUCUUGCUAGUUAUAUACUAAAAGGCCCCAAUAGUAAAAGAAUAAUUCUAGAUACACUAAAUUUGUGUACUAAAUAAUGUCACCAAUUAAAUUGUACUUU